This 336-nucleotide unclassified non-coding RNA is filed under the name soil metagenome. RNAcentral describes it as "partial contains 5.8S ribosomal RNA, internal transcribed spacer 2, and large subunit ribosomal RNA". The stretch from base 1 to 120 matches the Rfam family "5.8S ribosomal RNA", at positions 35 to 154 of the family's 154-position model. The record is from RNAcentral.
GAUGAAGAACGCAGCGAAAUGCGAUAAGUAAUGUGAAUUGCAGAAUUCAGUGAAUCAUCGAAUCUUUGAACGCACAUUGCGCCCGCCAGUAUUCUGGCGGGCAUGCCUAUUCGAGCGUCAUUUCAACCAUCAAGCCCCCGGCUUGUGUUGGGGACCUGCGGCUGCCGCAGGCCCUGAAAAGCAGUGGCGGGCUCGCUGUCACACCGAGCGUAGUAGCAUACAUCUCGCUCUGGGCGUGCUGCGGGUUCCGGCCGUUAAACCACCUUCAUAACCCAAGGUUGACCUCGGAUCAGGUAGGAAGACCCGCUGAACUUAAGCAUAUCAAUAAGCGGAGGA